RNAcentral lists this ribosomal RNA (118 nucleotides) under uncultured bacterium. RNAcentral describes it as "partial 16S ribosomal RNA". It matches the Rfam family "Bacterial small subunit ribosomal RNA", at positions 1358 to 1482 of the family's 1533-position model. The record is from RNAcentral.
UACGGUGAAUACGUUCCCGGACCUUGUACACACCGCCCGUCAAGCCAUGGAAGCCGGGGUGUACCUAAAAGUCGAUAACCGUAAGGAGUCGCCUAGGGUAAAACUGGUGACUGGGGCU